Molecule: non-coding RNA, 83 nt
Organism: Podarcis lilfordi (Lilford's wall lizard)
Lineage: Eukaryota; Metazoa; Chordata; Lepidosauria; Squamata; Lacertidae
Source: the annotation of a GenBank genome assembly
GGCACUGUAGCUCAGCGGUGGAACAUCUGCUUUCCAUGCAGAAGGUCCUAGUUUCAAUUCACCAAUAUUUCCAGGUAGGGCUA